GGCGGGUAGCAGGUCGGGUGGCGGGUACACUUUUAUCCGGCGGGUCGGGUUACGGGUAGGCACUAUCCGUGCCCGACCCGACCCGUUGCCAUCCCUAGAAGGGUGUGUGACACUUUGAAUCUCAUGCUCACCGAAAUUUGAAGAAUCAGAUGUUGUGAUGGAAGCAGAUCCAAGCUCCAUGCUCGAACAACAACACAACUCAGAAGAAUGCAAUGGAACAAAUUGGAUGCAUGAAAGGUUGAUGCACACCAGGUGUUUGUGAAAUGGAUCGGCGAAGGAUUGAUGAGUGCUUGAGGUCUCUCAAGCUCAGAAGGUCUUCCAAUAGGGAAGGAAGCUAGAGGAGAAGGUGUUGGAAAAGCACAAGAAGUUUGAGCUCAGAGAAUAGGGUCUGGAGAAAUCUCAACGACAUUUCACUAUAUUUUCCAAGUUGAUUUUACAAAGGAGGGAGCCUGAUAGAAGCCUCCACCGAAUUCAUGCUUGGAGAAGCUUCACGGGUUCAGAUUUGGGCAGCGGAUGAAGGAUGCCAUGAUGAUGGAUGAGGUGUAGUCAAGGUGUUUGAUGAAGGUCCGAGAGAGGUUGAUGAUGGAGUAUUGUUGAAGUCUAACUCAGAGAGCUUUCCUAAGGGAAAAGGAGCUAGAGGAUAGGCAAAAUAACAUUGCACAAGAGUGAACUUGAGAGUGAAAGCUGAAAUUUGGCAGCAUUUCUUUACUUCAAUUCAAGUUGAAGGUUACAAGUGUGGUGCUCCUCUUUUAUAAGAAGAAGAAGAGCUAUGAGGUGUGCAGAGGAAGCUAACAAUUGAACAUGUGCAGAAAAUGAAGUGUGAAAGGUGUGUUUCACGUGCUAAAUGUGUUACAUGAGUUAUACAUGGUUAAAUCACGUGAAAAAGGCAUGGAAAUGGUGCUCCACAUGUGAGUCUCGGCCAACCUCUUUGUUGCACG
Molecule: long non-coding RNA, 938 nt
Filed under: Vigna radiata
Lineage: Eukaryota; Viridiplantae; Streptophyta; Magnoliopsida; Fabales; Fabaceae
Description: long non-coding RNA (VRAD_LNC006362)
Source: RNAcentral